Molecule: ribosomal RNA, 465 nt
Filed under: uncultured bacterium
Lineage: Bacteria
Description: partial 16S ribosomal RNA
Rfam family: Bacterial small subunit ribosomal RNA
Source: RNAcentral
GACGAACGCUGGCGGCGUGCUUAACACAUGCAAGUCGAACGGAAAGGCCCUGCUUGCAGGGUACUCGAGUGGCGAACGGGUGAGUAACACGUGGGUGAUCUGCCCUGCACUUCGGGAUAAGCCUGGGAAACUGGGUCUAAUACCGGAUAGGAGCCAUUUUUAGUGUGAUGGUUGGAAAGUUUUUUCGGUGUAGGAUGAGCUCGCGGCCUAUCAGCUUGUUGGUGGGGUAAUGGCCUACCAAGGCGGCGACGGGUAGCCGGCCUGAGAGGGUGGACGGCCACAUUGGGACUGAGAUACGGCCCAGACUCCGACGGGAGGCAGCAGUGGGGAAUAUUGCACAAUGGGCGCAAGCCGGAUGCAGCGACGCCGCGUGGGGGAUGACGGCCUUCGGGUUGUAAACUCCUUUCGCUAGGGACGAAGCUUUUUGUGACGGUACCUAGAGAAGAAGCACCGGCUAACUACGUG